UAGAGGAGCAGAGCGUUUUCGUCUCUGUCUUCUCUCUAGCUAAGGCUGAUUUUGGAGAGCGGCGGCUGCUGGUUCGAGCCUCUGGAUAACUGGAUCAAGGACUACAGCCUGCGGCUACUAAUGGCAACGAAGCAACCCUCAGACAGUACCUUGUGUUGACUACACCUAGACUUCCUACGCAAACCCUUUAAACCAGCUCAAUGACUCUGGUUCCACCAAGAACUGUUCAAGAGACCGGCCAGUGCACCGAAACCUAAACACUGAAAACUACUGUUCUUCCGGUACCUUCUUCGACAACUCCGAUACUUACCUUAACUAAACCUACCUUCCUUAUAAUGACAACUUUCUCGUGUUGGAGUUCCAAGUCCGUCCCUGGCACUACCUCUAGCUCUGAUAGCACCACCACCACUGGCGAUACCACCACCGGCACUAAAACCACCGCCAGCACCACCACCAGCACCACCGCCGCCACUAACGAUGUUUACACCGUUCGGACCAGUAAAACGUUCCCUCACGGGAAGACCACUACCACCCCUGUCCAUACCAUCGUCCCUACUGUCCAUAUCAUCGUCCCUACUGUCCAUAUCAUCAUCCCUACUGUCCAUACCACCGUCCCUACCACCUUCCCUACUGUUCAUACCACCAUCGUUGCCGUCGUCAGCGAUACCCGGACUGGCACCACCACUAGCGAUAAGACCUUCAGCACUACCUCCUUCGGCGUCGUCACCACCGCCACUAGCUAUGUCGGCACUGUCCAGACCUGGCAUACUAGCAGCGUCGGCUCUACUUAUGACUAGAACUACCACCUCUAAGACAGAGUCCAUACUUUCCAUAACCUAUUAUGAUCACCAUACAAACGAAAUAGUGUAUUCCGUCGUUUACCAAACGACAACAUGAGAAAUACUCUUCAAAUUACGAAAACAAUAGGUACGACUGAUCACGAACCAAAUGGUUACAAGGAUGGACCUAAACCGAACAUUGGCCAAGGAACCCUCGAAGUCACCUAACGCAAUAAAACAGACUCAUUAUAAACCCUAGGUACAAAGACGCAACGAGACUACCAUUUUCAGGACAGUACUAUGACCGGAAACCACGACAAGAACAUAACGUAGCGACACCAAUAACCUUAACACCAGAACUACAGUUCCUACAACUUCUUGUUGUCGAGAAAUAAAUCAGAGCAACACCAGAACUCCUUUCUUAGUUGCAAGACACGAACCCCGUAAACCGGAAACACAAGGAUAACCAGACGAACCGAAUCACGAUUUUAAAACGACAAGUUGGUACCCAGGCUUACGAACGAGAUCAUGACAAGAUACCGUGAAGGGAGUCAAUCUGGUUGUAUUCUAGAACGACCGUACCCAGUGAAACGAGUAGUUGUGAAGAAACCCGAGGAUCAUAUUGUGUGACGAAGGAACUCUUGGACCUUUCUCAACGAACGAAGUGACCCUACCCGAGAGAGAAUGGAAGUAAGGACGACGUUGGGUUCAGGCUCCCGGGAAUUCUUUCAGGGUACACUUCCAACGAAAUAAAGACACAAAGAGUUUCCCCCUUGAUAAAAGAAAGAGUCGCUUCCAGCGGAUGUGAACGAAGACCAAUUGAAUUCCACAUCUACUUUUAUCAAUAAACAUCCCAAGCCACAGAAAGAAAAACUGUCAUCACUCGAGGUUAACAAAAUUCUUUCCGUCGGACUAAGUAUAACACGGUUAUUAAAACCGUCGGGCUCGAGGUUGCUAAAACAACAACGACACAAACGGUAAACAUUAAAACAUGUUACGAAUUAAGUGGUCGACAACAGUUUACCUAUACGAACCAAGGUUUAAUAACCUUCAAACUCGAAACAACAUCCAGUUUGAAGAUAUAAAACAGGUACAAAUUGAAACUUUUCUAACCCGAAGCCGUUUAGAUAUUGAAAUUUAUAAAACUUUGCUUCCCUCAUUUAAUCGC
This 1947-nucleotide ribosomal RNA is filed under the name Triticum aestivum (bread wheat). RNAcentral's name for it is "partial small subunit ribosomal RNA". Lineage: Eukaryota; Viridiplantae; Streptophyta; Magnoliopsida; Poales; Poaceae. The record is from RNAcentral.